RNAcentral lists this ribosomal RNA (253 nucleotides) under uncultured bacterium. Its description in RNAcentral is "partial 16S ribosomal RNA". It matches the Rfam family "Bacterial small subunit ribosomal RNA", at positions 524 to 776 of the family's 1533-position model. The record is from RNAcentral.
UACGGAGGGUGCGAGCGUUGUCCGGAAUCAUUGGGCGUAAAGGGUGCGUAGGUGGCAGGGUAAGUCGGAUGUGAAAUCCCGGGGCUCAACCUCGGAACUGCAUUCGAUACUGCUUUGCUUGAGUACUGGAGAGGAGAUUGGAAUUUACGGUGUAGCAGUGAAAUGCGUAGAUAUCGUAAGGAAGACCAGUGGCGAAGGCGGAUCUCUGGACAGUUACUGACACUGAGGCACGAAGGCCAGGGGAGCAAACGGG